This 72-nucleotide transfer RNA is filed under the name Ktedonobacteraceae bacterium. RNAcentral's name for it is "tRNA-Asn". It matches the Rfam family "tRNA". From Rfam's summary of the family: Transfer RNA (tRNA) molecules are approximately 80 nucleotides in length. Their secondary structure includes four short double-helical elements and three loops (D, anti-codon, and T loops). The record is from RNAcentral. Lineage: Bacteria; Bacillati; Chloroflexota; Ktedonobacteria; Ktedonobacterales; Ktedonobacteraceae.
UCCUCGAUAGCUCAAUGGUAGAGCAAUCGGCUGUUAACCGAUGGGUUACAGGUUCGAAUCCUGUUCGAGGAG